UAAUACGGAGGGGGCUAGCGUUGCUCGGAAUUACUGGGCGUAAAGCGAGCGUAGGCGGCUAAACAAGUUGGGGGUGAAAGCCCGGAGCUCAACUCCGGAACUGCCUCCAAAACUGGUUAGCUAGAGUCCGAGAGAGGAAAGUGGAAUUCCCAGUGUAGGGGUGAAAUUCGUAGAUAUUGGGAAGAACACCAGUGGCGAAGGCGACUUUCUGGAUCGGUACUGACGCUAAGGCUCGAAAGCGUGGGGAGCAAACAGGAUUAGAUACCCUGGUAGUCCACGCCGUAAACGAUGAGUGCUAGACGUUGGGGGUUUAUCCUUCAGUGUCGCAGCUAACGCAUUAAGCACUCCGCCUGGGGAGUACGAUCGCAAGAUUA
This 374-nucleotide ribosomal RNA is filed under the name uncultured Alphaproteobacteria bacterium. RNAcentral's name for it is "bacterial SSU rRNA". It matches the Rfam family "Bacterial small subunit ribosomal RNA", at positions 521 to 896 of the family's 1533-position model. Lineage: Bacteria; Pseudomonadati; Pseudomonadota; Alphaproteobacteria. The record is from RNAcentral.